Molecule: ribosomal RNA, 638 nt
Filed under: uncultured marine eukaryote
Lineage: Eukaryota
Description: bacterial SSU rRNA
Rfam family: Eukaryotic small subunit ribosomal RNA
Source: RNAcentral
UUGCGGUUAAAAGCUCGUAGUUGGAUUUUGGGGCGAGAAGGCUGGUCGGCCAAUUGGUUUGUACCGGCAGUUUCGCUCUUCCUUCUGGGAACCUGCGCACUUGAUUGUGUGUACGGGACGCAGAUCGUUUACUUUGAAAAAAUUAGAGUGUUCAAAGCAGGCCAUCGCUUGAAUACAUUAGCAUGGAAUAAUGGAAUAGGACUUUGGUUCUAUUUUGUUGGUUUCUGGAACCAAGGUAAUGAUUAAUAGGGACAGUUGGGGACGUUGAUAUUUCAUUGUCAGAGGUGAAAUUCUUGGAUUUAUGGAAGAUCAACUUCUGCGAAAGCAUUCGUCAAGGAUGUUUUCAUUAAUCAAGAACGAAAGUUAGGGGAUCGAAGACGAUCAGAUACCGUCGUAGUCUUAACCAUAAACUAUGCCGACUCGGGAUCGGUAGGCGUUGUUUUUGACCCCAUCGGCACCGUGUGAGAAAUCAAAGUGAUUGGGUUCCGGGGGGAGUAUGGUCGCAAGGCUGAAACUUAAAGGAAUUGACGGAAGGGCACCACCAGGAGUGGAGCCUGCGGCUUAAUUUGACUCAACACGGGGAAACUUACCAGGUCCAGACAUGGGAAGGAUUGACAGAUUGAGAGCUCUUUCUUGAU